Molecule: ribosomal RNA, 406 nt
Filed under: uncultured bacterium
Lineage: Bacteria
Description: partial 16S ribosomal RNA
Rfam family: Bacterial small subunit ribosomal RNA
Source: RNAcentral
GAUGAACGCUAGCUACAGGCCUAACACAUGCAAGUCGAGCGACAGGCGCACGGGUGAGUAACACGUCACCAACCUUCCCUUUACUCGUGGAUAGCUUUUCGCAUUAACGAAUACUACACAACACAAUGGGUCGGGAUGGGUUGCAUUAGGUUGUUGGUGAUGUAACGGCUAGCCAAGCCUUCGAUGGAUAGGUGUUCUGAGAGCAAGGUCCCCCACAUUGGAACUGAGGUACAGUCCAAACUCCUAGGGGAGGGAGGAGUGAGGAAUAUUGGUCAAUGGGCGGUAGCCUGACCCAGCCAAGUAGCGUGAAGAAUGAAGGCUUAUGGGUCGUAAACUUCUUUUAUAUAAGAAUAUGUAUUAUAUGAAUAAGGAUCGGCUAACUACGUGCCAGCCGCCGCGGUAAUAC